This 6205-nucleotide long non-coding RNA is filed under the name Sus scrofa (pig). RNAcentral's name for it is "lncRNA (ENSSSCG00000061181.1)". The record is from RNAcentral. Lineage: Eukaryota; Metazoa; Chordata; Mammalia; Artiodactyla; Suidae.
UUCCCAGCCUUAUUUCAAAAAAUGUGAGAAGGCAAUAAGGAUUUGUAGUGUGAAAGGCAUGACCUUUAUCUGCAAUCAAUUCCCAUUGUUAGGCUUCGGACCUAUUAGUUUAGGUACACAGGUUUCUUUUUCAAGGAAUAGCUUUUAUUUUAACUAUCCUACCCUCAAAGUGCAGAGCAAAUCUCUCUCCUCAAAGCUCUCACAUGCUACUUGAAAAGGAAGAUAAAGAUUUUCAUGGAGAAAGGCUCCUUAAUGAUAGAAUAGAAGGCUUUUCAUUCUAAGAGAGAAAGGAGUAUGGUAAAGGUUGGAAAUUUGACUGAUGCCUAUGGCCUUGGACAGUAUCAAAUGAAAGAAUUAAAUUUUUUUUACUGUCUUGAGAAGAAAGAGAUACAAACAAAUCAACAAACAAACUUUACUAAAAUACACAUUCCUCCAGUUUUAGGUUUCUAAAAAGUAGUAAUUAUGCUUACAUCAAGGUUUACAGAUAGCAAACAACUGUUUUAAUGUGUAAAAGUAUUAUCCCUUUGCUUUACUAUGUUAGUUUCACUUUCUUUGAAGGAAUUGUAUCUGUGCACACUUGUCCUAAAGUCCAGUGCAGAAAAUAAACUGGUUUGCUACCAGCCUCAAUCUCGGAACAUUUCCUAAGCUAUAUUUGCAAAUCCUAAAACUACAUAUCUGUAAAAUGAGAUGCAGAGUUUCUGAAAUGCAUUGUGGUGGCAGGGGUGGGGUGGGAUGGGGGAGAAAGCAAGCUCUGAAUGGAGGAAAAGAAACAAAUCUCUUCUUAUCCUCCCCAAUACAUACUAUAAUGUUUCUGACCAUUAUUCUGCUGCAUUAGUUACUGUGAGGGCUACUGGUGCUCCUGACAGGUGUCAGCUUAGAAAAGCAGGAGGCUCAUAAGCAAUAAGAAAUUCACAUCCUGGAGUCUCCAGAAUAUUAAACAGGCUUUAGACAUUAAUCUAGACUAAUGCAGAGGUUGUAGUGAGAAAUCCCAGGUCUCAGGGUUAGAGCCCUUCUUGGGGAACUAGAAUGAACAAUGUCAAGAAGGCAUUCUGGAGGAAUCCUUGUGAUAAACUGGACCACACGGGACCUAUCAGAACUGGAUCCUCUCCUCCUCCACAUUAUACUUUACAUGAUGCUACUUAGGAUUUAAAAGAGAGUCUUUUAUUCUUUGAGAAGCCAAAGGCUGAGGAGAGGAGUACUUCAGAUGAAGAGUACUUUAAAAAAAAAGAUAGAGGAAAUCAGAACAGACAAAGGACAGCAAGGAGAUAGAAAUAAUGGGAAGAAUGUGUGAAAUGAAGAUCAUAGCCCUAGGCAACAUAAAUACUGGCUUUAAGAAGUUCUGAUUUCCUAUGAGAAUAGAAACUUGGAAAGGCUUUUGAACCUCUUUUAAUUUAUUUUUAAAAAAUGUGUUGACUUGAGUGCUUUUCUAUAUAUUUUUUGGCUAUGCCCUCAGCAUGCAAAGUUCUGGGGCCAGGGAUCAAACCUGCACCAGAACCAUAGCAGGGACAAUGCCAGAUCCUUAACCCAGAGAGCCACCAGGUAACUCCUGAACGUCUUUAUCUCAUUGCUCUCUGCAGUGUGAGAUGAUGUGAAAAACUGGCUUGACUAAGAUAAAAUCUGGCUCAUGCCUCAAGUCUAAUUAAGAAUACAUUUCUGAUAUUAAUGUUGCUUCUGUCUGUCAGUGGAUACAGUAAGAAAUGAAAGCAUGCCCUUGUGUGCUCAAAACCAGGUAGUGCUCUAAAUGCCACAGAAGCUGAGCAGUAAGGCGGUGUCACAAUAAGAGUGCUGGACUGGGACCCCUGCAGAGUUGUUAAGAUCAAGUCAUAAACAUCCUGUAAAGGGACAGACCCAAAGCUGUACCAGUCUUUGGGCGAUGUUCUGGCAACCUGACAGUUGUAAGUCAUUGAAAUGGCAUCUAGCAUGAUGACCGAAUUACAUGGUGAAUGCUUAGGUACUGGGGAGUGUAUUACAUGGCCCAUCAAGUAUCUGUUCAGCCUUGUUAUUAUUUUAUUUAAGCACAUAUUAAGUUCAGGUUUAAAAAAAAUCUGGUUGCAAAAUAGACACUUUAGAAACUAUGGAUCUUUUUAUCCCUUAGUAAAUUCCUACUUCGAGUUAUAAGCCAAUCAUUUGUCUUUCAAAAAGAUAAUAAAUAAAAAAUUUAUUCUUAGUCAUCCCAUACGAUACGUUUGAGAAGUGGCUUUACUUGUUUUAGAAGAGCUCACUAAGGCUCGGGCAGUUAUCAAAAUUAUUCUGAAAUAUCACACCUUUCAUUAGACUUCUGUGUCUAGUAGCCAGUAAAUAUGUCAUCUGGCUAAAUAUUAGCAGUAGCUGAGAGUCAGCAGUGAUAAUUUUUUUUUCUCCCUCAGAAAUUGACUACUCAUAUCCGGAAUUUGAACACUGUGGUAUUGAAAAAAAGAGAGAGAAACCAGAAAAUAUUUUUCUCUUUAUCUUUGGCCAAAUGUGAAGGUUGAAAGGAAUUAAUGACCCUCAGCUAGUACAGCUGACAUUUACAACUGUGACUCAGGUCCUCCCACUCACAAAAGAACAUUGAUAACUUUAAAACUUGCAGGUACUGUGAAGACAGCCCCCAGUCUGCCUACGGGUCUCCUGGUGAGGAGCUCACUCACGUCAACACUCUUGCCACAUAAAGCUCAAAGGAGGAAUUCAGAAUGGGGUAGAAAGAAGGAAGGGAAAUGAGCCCCGAGGGUCAUAAUUAUUAGAGUUCUCAGGGCAGUGGGGAGAGGAAGUGGUAAUUUAAAGUCUUAAAGAGAAACAAGUAAUGAAGAGAAGGAAAAGGAAAGAGGAAAACAGUGAAGUAGAUACAAUUUGGAGAUGAAGUAAUCAUUGGGAAAAAAAAAAAAAACAACAACCAAAAAACAGCUUCCCUAAUCCUCAAUUUACAAUUAUGUUUGUCUAGCAGAACUAGAUUUCAUCGCAAACUUUGGAGAAACAGAUUGAUGCUUUUAGACUCAAUACUAGCUCCUGUGAAGCAGACUAGAGUUGGUAGUCCCUUAAUGAGUCCUGGGUUUCACAAGUAGAGAAUGUGGAAGGGAGCUGGAGAAGGGGGAAGGGGAGGGGCUGGAAAAGAAAACUCUCCUGGAAAAGAUGAAAGGAGGGAAUUAAUGUUAUUCACACUGAGAAGCCUUCAUCGUGGUUCAGUGUGGAAAGGGCUCUCAUGCUGAGUAUUAUGAACAGCUGUUUUCAUUUUGUCCUGAAUGCAGACCCGAGAGAAUAAGCCUGGUCUUAGGAACCCAGGAGGGAGGUAUAGUUUAUCCAUCAGUGGAGUUUUCCAAGCACUGGAUUGAGUAGCCAAGGGAAGCUGAAGAAGCUUUAAAGAUGUUAUGUGAAAAUAUUUCUUGUGAAGAAGACAGGAUGCCUGAUUUCUGAUGUUCUCACGAUGGUCUGGUUAAAGAAGAAAGGCACCAAAUCUCCACCUUAACAGACAAACAGAGAUAUUGAGGGCCAGAUACCCAAGAACCACCAUUUUAUGAACUCUGCAGACUAAAAAAAUGAACUAUACAUUUCUGAGUAGUUCUAGUUCUAUCAGCCUCUGUCAUGAAAAAGUUCCUCAAAUUCUGAUUUCAUCAAAUAAAAAAAAAUCUCUCAGGAAAAUAUUAUAUUGCUGAGUUACCUCCAGGGAAGCAUUGAUGACUAAUUGUAAGCAGAUUGAAAACAGAAAGUAGUCAGUGAAGAACCAGUAUUAAAAAUCAAUGUUUGAAAAUACGUUUGGGACAACUAGGGAUUUAACUGCCUUCUGCUUCUCAGAUGAGCAGCCCUUUGAAAUGCAGCCUGUGAUUGCUGGUCAGAUCAUAUGGAGGUUAAGCGGCCCCUUGGUCAUAUUUUUAAAAGCAAAUAUAGACAGUGACAGUCCUAGAGGGGAAAAUCACAGAUACAUUCAUAUGCGCUUCUUUUGUUCUUGAGAUACUGAGAGGGUCAGCUAAACAAGAUCAUGUUGACUAUGAACCUCUUUGUGUCGGCCACACACACAAAAAUUUUUUCUUAAAAAAAGUUUUCACUUUCCUACAUUUGCUAAGUCCGAGCUUAAAAAAAAUUCUAAAAUCCUGUAAAGACAAUACUGAAGCUGAUAAUAUAAAAAGCAAACUAGAGCAGUAAUGAUUAUUACUAAAUGCACCAGAUUAACUGCAGCAGGUUGGUGAUGGGUGAUAAAUGCAAAGAAAUAAUAUUUCAAUCAACUCAUGAUCAUAGGCAGAUUCAAAAGUUAAAUGAAUAUAAUGUAAUAUAUAUUUCAAUAUAGAGUUGUUAUAUAUAAUGUGUAUGUUCUAGCUUUCAGAAAUACUGCAAUGUAGUGUACUGUACUUAAGUAAGCAUACCUAAAUAGUAACUCAUAUUCUUCCACAAAGUCACUAGUACUGUUAAUUAAAAAAAAAUUCAUUUUUUUCCAGUAAAAAGAAAUACCUAUGGUUACAGUCACAGACUUCUUUUGGAUAUAGAAAGACAAUAUACAGUAAAAAAAAAAAAAAAAAAAAAAGAAAACCCAAAAAACAAAACAAAACAAAAAAACCCCAACAACGAAGAUUGCAACUGUAAGUAGCUUUACUUAAUUGGGGAGGGGGAAAAUCACCAAAAUAGAAGAGGAAAGAAAAUGUCCUCUGAAUUCUGUAAGUUAGCAGAAAUAAUCCACAUAUCACAAAAAAUAAUAAACCAGCUAAAGAAGGGCAUGGGAGUGAGAAAACUGAAUCCGACUAUUUCCAGGCCACCCUUCGAAGUCAGCUAUGACAGCCAGGUCUGUUUAUUCAGAAUAGUACACUAGAGCAUGCUUCCACUUUAAUGUUUGAGAUGGGCAGGAGCCAUCAAUUCUUAGAGAUGACCACGAAAUAUUCUUCCGAGAGUCUAUUGGUUUGCUAGACAUAGUAAACAACCCACUCCUGGAAAGACUUCGACAAAGGCCACAUUGGUUUCAGGAGACACAGUUUGUGAAUGAUGAUGGUUCCCUGCAAAUGCCAGCAGGAUUAGGAAGCUUUAGUUUGGGAGUAAAACUUACAAGUGGGUGGGUGUUUUUGUGCACACACUGGGUUGCAUAGAGGAAAGGAAUGGAGGCCUUUAAGCCAUGGAAUGGCUCAAACUGAAGUCUGUAUGGGCCUUGCCUGACUAGCAUCGGUGCCCCUCCUGCACCCCCCGCAAAGGGGCCAGGGGUACCCCAGACGGCUGUUCCCUCUUGUCUACUUGCCAGUUGAGUGUGUCUGUUCUACCUUCUUCUGGAGGCAAACAGCCUGUCACUGUGGGUUUGCUGUGGAUCCAACAAGCUGCCUCUGUUUCUCCCAACUCUGAAAUGCUACAAAAAGCAACAGAGUGGGCAGGUGACUGCUUCCUGGGAAGGGAGCCACAAGUCUUGAGCAUGAUGGUGGGAAGAGGCAAAUGUAUCUAUGCACCAGGACCUAUGCUGGUGUGUGCGUUGUUUGAGAUGCACACGUACUCUCAGACUACAACAAGUACACACGCAAAUACACAUGCACGCACAUGUCAGUAAAUCCAGUAGAAGGGCAGUUUGUUAAGUGCACUCUACUCCACACAAGCAAGUUCAAGUGUCUCAUGAAAGGGGUACAGAGAUAUUACUGAUGCUUGGGCUCCUUCAGAAUGCCUUAGAGCCUCAUCACAGAUAGUGGGCGGCACUUGUGCACCCAACUAAGGCAACAGAGCAGAAGCAGAUAAAUGAGAUAUGCGAGAUCUUUGACUAACUAGAAAUUCCAGACUCUAUCUUGUUGCUGGGGACUAUGCAUGUGGAAUAGUGUGGUGGUGAGAGCACCCCACACUGCGUGUGUACAUGCAUAAUAUGUACUCAUUUACAGACAUUUUGGACAGCAGCUGUGACAUACUAGAUGGGUUAAGUCCCUUUCAUUACUAGAAUCUACAUAUAAAUUGUAAUGAUUUUGCUGGGCAAUAGCAAACUUCUGUUGCAAAAGUAGUAGAAACAGAUGUCUUCUAGGGGGUUAAUUUUUUUUUUCCUGUCUUGGGUGUAUCAGAAUCUCAUUGAAGCAUUUUGAAUCAAGGAAACCUCUGAGCUGGCAAGAGGGCUAGUUAGGGACUUUUUAUACCCUAAUUAGGCAUCUCAAGAGCCAGGACUCCCGGAACUGUGGCAAAAAUUUCCCUCCAAUCUGCAGACUGUGCUCCUUCACUGAAGACUCGAAAGUUGUGAGUUUGCAUUUCAACAAAGAACCACCAGAUAAACCAGAUGCUCACUGAAACU